CCUACGGGAGGCAGCAGUGGGGAAUCUUGCGCAAUGGGCGAAAGCCUGACGCAGCAACGCCGCGUGCGGGAAGAAGGCUUUCGGGCUGUAAACCGCUUUCAGCAGGAACGAAAAUGACGGUACCUGCAGAAGAAGGAGCGGCCAACUAUGUGCCAGCAGCCGCGGUGAUACAUAGGCUUCAAGCGUUGUCCGGAUUUAUUGGGCGUAAAGAGUUCGUAGGCGGUCGAGUAAGUCGGGUGUGAAAAUUCUGGGCUCAACCCAGAGACGCCACCCGAUACUGCUUGACUUGAGUUCGAUAGGGGAGUGGGGAAUUCCUAGUGUAGCGGUGAAAUGCGCAGAUAUUAGGAGGAACACCGGUGGCGAAGGCGCCACUCUGGAUCGAUACUGACGCUGAGGAACGAAAGCAUGGGUAGCAAACAGGAUUAGAUACCCUGGUAGUCCAUGCCGUAAACGGUGGGCACUAGGUGUGGGUUUCUAUUAACGAAAUCCGCGCCGUCGCUAACGCAUUAAGUGCCCCGCCUGGGGAGUACGGUCGCAAGACUAAAACUCAAAUGAAUUGACGGCUGAGACGNGCGACGACGACGACGAGGAGAG
RNAcentral lists this ribosomal RNA (594 nucleotides) under uncultured bacterium. RNAcentral describes it as "bacterial SSU rRNA". It matches the Rfam family "Bacterial small subunit ribosomal RNA", at positions 338 to 960 of the family's 1533-position model. The record is from RNAcentral.